GGGGCCAAUGGGGCUAGUCUUGUCCCACCAACCAUCCCGGUUUCCAAAGGGACCUGCUCACUGCCUGGCUUCAGCCACCUGAGGCCAAGUACUAGGUACCAGGUACUCUGGGGAGUGAGAGCUGAUGGACUGAGGCCUCAGCUGUACUUGCAAAACCCAUUCAGGGACACAGCCCCCUGCACAGGUCAGGUCAGCAGAGCUGAGAGAGACUCAGAUGCCAGGUGGGGAAGAGCGUCCAGGGCUGGCAUAGAUGACUUGGAUGUAGCAGUGGUAGGCCAUGAGAUGCCUCAGUUGACAGUGCUUUAUCUUUUCCACCCUGAUAGAAAUCCAGUCCUUUCCCACUGUCGCAGAACAUACACCUCUGUCAAUUAUGCCACACGGGUCAUGAUUCGAGUUUUAUGUGCACGGGGCAGUUUAGUCAUGUUUGAUAAAUACCUCCAAACACUGUUCACUCAUUCGGUAGACUUCUCCUAAGCACUUACUAAGCCAUGGGAUAGGAACCAGAGCAGCACCCACUCCAGCGGGAGCAGAUGAGGGCCUUUUCACGGAGAAGGGAGCAAAUGAAACAUUCUCUCGAGCUGUGCCCCCUCUUCCACAACUUCUUCCGAGGUCAAUCAGGCAGAUAUGCCAAUCACCAAGACUGCAGAGCAGUCAUGAGAUCAUGAGUUCUGACCUGAAAUCAGCCAUACAAACAGCUUCAACCCUCUAGGCCUCAGGUAUCCCAUCUGUAUGAUGGGGAUAAAAGGAGCCCUGGGUAGCACUGAGAGCCAGUAGGAGGAGGCUUAAACCACAAAGGUAAUGCCCCUCAUCAUCACUGUUCAGUCACUCCUGCAGAGGAAGGCAGAGGGAGCCAGGGACCAGGGUCCCCUCCUCAGGAAGGGCUCUCAAAUCUGUCCUCAUGUCCUGCCAGUCCACACCUGCUCUAAGUAAGUCUCCUGGCUAGGCCACCUCCGCCUCUUCUCACCAGAGCCAUGCUACAACCUAGACUAGAACUAGUCACCCUUCCCGCCCCAGGCAGAGGCAAAAGGCAAAAUGACACAACUCAAUACCCUGUUUAAUCCUGUUCAACUUCAAUGCUAGGACGGAGCUGGGGAAGAAGACAGGUCUUUACCACGACUCACCUGCAAACAAGGUCACUACCCACAAGACCAGGACCGGUCUGACCUGGAGGUAACCCCAAGAGUAUGAAGGAAGGUCCUCUCUCCACCUUAAAAUGUCCCUCCCAGUAUCUGCAUGGCUUCAGUUCAUUCCAUUAGACUGAAUUUUCUUUGGAGGCUAAAGACUUUUGGGGGCUGGAGAGUUCCCUGUGAAUAACUGCGAACUUUUUUGGCAAGUGAGCAAGUCAUUGCACUAAACACUAAUUUAAACCUAUGAGCCAGGAAUUCUUGUUAUGCCCACUUCACAGAUGAGCAAAAGGAGACGGAUUCGGAAACAUGCCCCAGGUCACACAGCUACAGUAAGAGGCAGACCCAGGAAUCAAACAUAAGCUGUCCAACAGUAGAGCCCAAGAUCUUAAUCUUCACACCAUAACCCAGCAGGGACUUGGCUUAGGAAGGUGGUUUAUAAACCGUUUUCCAAAAAGUCCUAGAGUUGCCUGGUAGCUGCUCAGGAGCCACCAAAGGCAGCAGAAGGAGCAGAGGGCAAGGCUCCAGUCCCCGCCCCCACUUUAACCAAUGCAGCUUUCUUAAGCAGAAUCUCAAUUUUUAAAAAGAAACCAUUUCUAAUUAGUUUCUUGUUUCAAUGUAAUUGUAAAAGUAGAUCUCACCAGCAAAAACAGUUCUGACAUUUUCUUCUUUAGGAAAACCCCAGCUCACACUUUACAGAAUUUCAUUCCCAAGGGAUCUUCUUCUGUGUGGUGGGAUGAGACACAAGAGAGGUUUUCAAGAAAAACUUUGAAGCCUUCAGAAUCUAGCUGAGAGUCACUGAACUCAGGGCCUUGGAAACCAAGGGUCUCUUCCUUUCUUCCCUAGCUCUCUUGGGUCCAGAAAAGAAAAUGUGAUCACAAGGUCCAGAAAUGUAGCUGGCACCAGUAAAUAGAGUAGGGAACCCAACUCCUUCCACUGACACACAUAGACACACACACUCUCUUUUAGCCUGUUUUCAGCAAUGGACUCAGAUGGGGUGACCCAUGAGUGGUCUUUGACCCCUGAUCAGCGACAACCAUUUAUGGGGCAUCCCAGGACAUUCACGUGGGAACCACGAGCGAGGAUCCUCAAAUCAAAGUGAAUCUAGGAUAGACAGAGGGAUCAUGGCUCUGAUGGGGCCCUGAUCUCAUCUCCCUUUGCAUGGAGACAGGGAUGACCUUAGAGGACAGGCCAGGACUGAGAACAGUUUGGGGCAAAGGAGUCAGGACACCCUCUGGCUUCCCAGCUCAUUGCCAGGGCGCAGAGAAUCCCGGAGCAUCAUGGACAAAAUCCUGGGAAAUGACACACGGCUCAUAACUGAACUUGGUCUCCUCAUUCCCUCCCCU
Molecule: long non-coding RNA, 2470 nt
Filed under: Callithrix jacchus (white-tufted-ear marmoset)
Lineage: Eukaryota; Metazoa; Chordata; Mammalia; Primates; Cebidae
Description: lncRNA (ENSCJAG00000083806.1)
Source: RNAcentral